RNAcentral lists this long non-coding RNA (1082 nucleotides) under Lepisosteus oculatus (spotted gar). Its description in RNAcentral is "lncRNA (ENSLOCG00000023186.1)". Lineage: Eukaryota; Metazoa; Chordata; Actinopteri; Semionotiformes; Lepisosteidae. The record is from RNAcentral.
AUCCGAUAGCUCUGCCAAGUGGGAGGCGUUUUUCCCACAUGGUCACUAGGCAACCUCUUCCUGCGCAAGCCAGGCGACCUGCCUCCUUUGUUGUCCCCAGUUCGUGUCAUUAGCUGCAGGCAGCAGCUCGAGCUGCUAAUUAAUUUUUCAGUGUUACCUGUUCACCUGCGAAACCUGAUGCUGGGGGGUGCUCGUGGGGGUGGGGGUGGGGGUGGCGAUGCCGCGCUGCCUGCCUGCCUGCCUCUGUGGUGCCAGCGGUUCCUUAGCAACGCAGCCGCUGCUCUGCGGGAGAGCGAGCGCUGUGCCUGUGGCCCACAGCCUGGAGGAUAGCAGCCCUGAGCCCUCAUUUUCUUCCUCUCUCACAGAUGCGCAAAUCUCCCGUGGCCUGAGGCACGCCGCGAGAUCACCGCUCUGUGAAGAUGGAAAGGAGGCGCCUGAGGAGGGACAUCGAGGCCUUGCUGGGAGAUUACAUUGGUCAGAGACUCCGAGAAAAUGGAUUUGAUCCCAAAGGAAAGAGGGUUUCCACUGUGCUGGAUGACUUGGCUCAUUAUGACCUGGCCAUUGCAGUCGCUCUUCAUUGGCUGAAUGAAGACGAAGGAGGAGACGGUGUUGAAAAAGACACAAGAUGCAAGGAAUACCCCCGACCUGGCAGAUACCCCAACAGGCUGGAGCGUGAGGCCAUGAUCCUGUCCUCCUUUGCUGGGACAGUCCUGAACAGGCUCCCGGUGGAAGAUGUGCUGUGCCUCUACAGGUGUAAGCCCUCCACGACGUACGCUCAGAGGAGCAGCCAGAGCCCGAUCGUCCACCCCUUCACCCUCUCCUCCCACCCAUUUGCGAUGCUCACUGCGCACGAGGCUGUGGAGCGCGCCAAGAAGCACACACAGAGGCUGCAGUUCUGGAAAUCUGAGAAGUGCAAGCUGGGGAACACUGCAGAUCAGAACCUCCCAACACAGCCCAGCACCUCCAGCACCCCCAGCAGCACAGAGACCUCGCUCAGCGUCUCCGAUGACUCGACAGAAGAAGCAGAAGAUAGAAACGGCUCGGAGGAAUCGUUUCAUGCCUACAGGGAUACGACCGACUAA